AACUCUUAGCGGUGGAUCACUCGGCUCGUGCGUCGAUGAAGAACGCAGCUAGCUGCGAGAACUAAUGUGAAUUGCAGGACACAUUGAUCAUCGACACUUCGAACGCGCUUUGCGGCCCCAGGUUCCUCCUGGGGCUACGUCUGUCUGAGGGUCG
Molecule: ribosomal RNA, 154 nt
Filed under: Salmo salar (Atlantic salmon)
Lineage: Eukaryota; Metazoa; Chordata; Actinopteri; Salmoniformes; Salmonidae
Description: 5.8S ribosomal RNA (ENSSSAG00000113774.1)
Rfam family: 5.8S ribosomal RNA
About the family: 5.8S ribosomal RNA (5.8S rRNA) is a component of the large subunit of the eukaryotic ribosome. It is transcribed by RNA polymerase I as part of the 45S precursor that also contains 18S and 28S rRNA.
Source: RNAcentral